Mus musculus (house mouse) is the source of this 753-nucleotide long non-coding RNA. RefSeq annotates it as predicted gene 839. The transcript is spliced from 3 exons. Lineage: Eukaryota; Metazoa; Chordata; Mammalia; Rodentia; Muridae. The record is from RefSeq and is marked validated.
GGAGCAGUCAUGUGUGAGAGCUAUUGCCAACUCUAAUUAAGCACAGAUUUAAAAUAUAUAUAUAUAUUUACACUGAGAUCAAGUCAAGAUUCCAAACAACCACCCAGAGUGCUAGGAGCUUCACAGAAGACAACACAGGAUGGAGCUGCACGGAACUCUGGCAAAGACUGUCAAGGUCAAAGCAAUGGCACCUUAAUUCAACUUCAGCAUCCUUCAAUGUAAAUGUGAUCUUGGAACAGUUACACUCCCAAAGCCAUUUGUUGGCUCAAAUUCUGAUAGGGUCCAACUCAGGCUGAUUGCAGUGUCCUGCUGAACUGUCUCUCCAGACAUGUGGGAGACCCUAAGCACUGUCAUGAUGGGUGACCAGAAUCAAAAUCGCUUUCAGACCCUGGAUUUUGACAGCCUGUUCUCUUCAGAGGUGAAUGAAGGAGACACAGCCUCAGAGACAAUGCAGCAAAAUCUCUGGUGUCCAGCAAUGAAGUUCUCAGAGCACACUACCUCUGUGCCCAAGAUCGAGCCAUGGACCAAGAAGCUCCCACGAUAUAGCCACUUAGUGUAUGACGCUGAUGUCCAAAUGUCUGACUGGACCCCCGAAGAGACAGACAACUGGAUGAGGUUGACUCUUGCUGCAGCUGUAGUGUGGUCAAUGCGGACCUGCAGAUUUUCUCGACAUGGGAGGAACAACACAUUGCUGGCAUAGCGGCCGCAGCUGCCACAUGUCAUCAUCCCAUGGGAACAGCAAACCCCAAACCC